GCUAGGCUUUGUGGUGCGUGCCUGUAGUCCCAGCUACUUGGGAGGCUGAGGCAGGAGGAUUGCUUGAGGCCAGGAGUUCAAGGCUGCAGUGAUCUAUGAUCGCAGCACUGCACUCUAGCCUGGGUGCCAGAGUGAGACCCUGUCUCAA
Molecule: unclassified non-coding RNA, 148 nt
Organism: Pongo abelii (Sumatran orangutan)
Lineage: Eukaryota; Metazoa; Chordata; Mammalia; Primates; Hominidae
Rfam family: Metazoan signal recognition particle RNA
About the family: The signal recognition particle (SRP) is a universally conserved ribonucleoprotein. It is involved in the co-translational targeting of proteins to membranes. The eukaryotic SRP consists of a 300-nucleotide 7S RNA and six proteins: SRPs 72, 68, 54, 19, 14, and 9.
Source: Ensembl